CCCUUAGAGUUUGAUCCUGGCUCAGAUUGAACGCUGGCGGCAGGCCUAACACAUGCAAGUCGAGCGGCAGCGGGAAAGUAGCUUGCUACUUUUGCCGGCGAGCGGCGGACGGGUGAGUAAUGCCUGGGGAUCUGCCCAGUCGAGGGGGAUAACUACUGGAAACGGUAGCUAAUACCGCAUACGCCCUACGGGGGAAAGCAGGGGACCUUCGGGCCUUGCGCGAUUGGAUGAACCCAGGUGGGAUUAGCUAGUUGGUGAGGUAAUGGCUCACCAA
RNAcentral lists this ribosomal RNA (274 nucleotides) under uncultured bacterium. Its description in RNAcentral is "partial 16S ribosomal RNA". It matches the Rfam family "Bacterial small subunit ribosomal RNA", at positions 1 to 271 of the family's 1533-position model. The record is from RNAcentral.